Molecule: long non-coding RNA, 1230 nt
Organism: Notolabrus celidotus (New Zealand spotty)
Lineage: Eukaryota; Metazoa; Chordata; Actinopteri; Labriformes; Labridae
Exons: 3
Source: RefSeq, a predicted model, not a curated record
CGAAACCUCGUAGCUCCACCCCGUUCCAUUUUGAAGGAAGUGCGCAUUUCCUCUCAAAUAGUUUUGAAAGUGGCAACACAGUUUCCGAGUGGUUUCGUUUGAGCAGGAUGUCUUUAUGACAGCACAGGUGGAGAGAGAGAGGAAAACGAGGAAGCAGAAGUAAGAGGAGAUGAUCCAUACACAGAGAGUGAGGAGGUUGAGGAUAGUGAGGAAGAAAAUGUCAGCGAGGAAGUUGAGAUGGAUGCAGAUCCAGAUUAUUUGACUGAAGGUGCACAAGGUGUUGGAGGGAGGAAGCGGAAAAAUGCAGAAACCUGGAAGAAAGCGUUGCAGAAAAAAAGAAGAAUGCUGGGACAGUCCUACAUUGGAAGCAAAAUGUCAGAAGAGGUAACACGGGAGAGCAGGGUGAUGGGACCUGGAUGCCAGUCGUCUUCCUGUCUUAAAUCGUCCAAGCAUCACUGCAGUGAAGUCACUGUUGAUAAUAGUUAAAACUGUAACUCUGAAACAUGGUUUGGUACAUUUGAAUAAAUAAUUGAUAACUUUGUUAGCAAUAAAUAGUUAAAGAUGGUUAAAAUUAACUUUAAAAUACAGUUUGAUGCACUUUUUUUAUCAUUAAUACGUUUUAUUGUAGCUGUUGUAGAUAUUUAAAUAAACGUCUAACACAUGGAAUAGGAAUGCACAUAAGUUGAUACUGUUACACUACAUAAUUGAUGCCUUUUAUAGAUGUUUUUGUGGCUGAACAAAAACUGAAUUAUCUUUGUUUGGUUGUUACUGUCAGAGCAGCAUCAACUGAAAUAACGAUGAACUACUUAUUUACAUUUUACAUGUUUUUAUUAUUGCUUAUGUCUCACACUAGUGUAACAUUUCUGAGUAUUUGGUUAAAAAUAUUUUAGAGAGUGUUCUUGUUGGUCUUGCAUUCAGUUAAGCCUCAUAGCUGUUUUGUACUUUCUCCAGUAGGCUGCAGUAUUGAGCCAGGUGUUCAUUAGAAAUUAGAAAUAAUCAUUCUGAGGGAUUCUCAGUGUCUUGCACUGCUUAGCUGAAUAAAUAAUUAGUUGUUUAAGUACAAUGUUAUUCUUGCUUAAGAAAUACUAAGACAACAAAUGCUACCGUAUGCUGAAGACGGAGACUCUGAAAAGGAUAAUGGUGCAGUGGAUGACAGUUUGUGCCAAUGUGUUUUCCCCCUUAAUUAUUUUUUCCACAUAAAUAAAAUUAAUAUAUGUGACGGUUUCAGAA